RNAcentral lists this ribosomal RNA (254 nucleotides) under uncultured bacterium. RNAcentral's name for it is "partial 16S ribosomal RNA". It matches the Rfam family "Bacterial small subunit ribosomal RNA", at positions 524 to 776 of the family's 1533-position model. The record is from RNAcentral.
UACGGAGGGGGCUAGCGUUGUUCGGAAUUACUGGGCGUAAAGCGCGCGUAGGCGGACCUGCAAGUCGGGGGUGAAAGCCCGAGGCUCAACCCUCGGAACUGCCUUCGAUACUGCGGGUCUCGAGUCCGGGAGAGGUGAGUGGAAUUCCUAGUGUAGAGGUGAAAUUCGUAGAUAUUAGGAAGAACACCAGUGGCGAAGGCGGCUCACUGGCCCGGUACUGACGCUGAGGCGCGAAAGCGUGGGGAGCAAACAGG